Molecule: ribosomal RNA, 253 nt
Filed under: uncultured bacterium
Lineage: Bacteria
Description: partial 16S ribosomal RNA
Rfam family: Bacterial small subunit ribosomal RNA
Source: RNAcentral
UACGUAGGGUGCGAGCGUUGUCCGGAAUUACUGGGCGUAAAGAGCUCGUAGGUGGUUUGUCGCGUUGUCCGUGAAAACUCACAGCUUAACUGUGGGCGUGCGGGCGAUACGGGCAGACUGGAGUACUGCAGGGGAGACUGGAAUUCCUGGUGUAGCGGUGGAAUGCGCAGAUAUCAGGAGGAACACCGGUGGCGAAGGCGGGUCUCUGGGCAUUAACUGACGCUGAGGAGCGAAAGCAUGGGGAGCGAACAGG